AUCCUCCUUGGGGACUCCAAAAUUCUCCUUGGGGACUCCAAAAUCCUACUCGGUGGCCUCAAAAUCCAACUCGGGGACUGCAAAUCCUGCUCGGGGACACCAAAUCCUACUCAUCGGCCUCAAAUCCUCCUUGGGGACCCCAAAUGCUCCUUGGGGACUCCAAAUUCUACUCAACGGCCUCAAAAUCCUCCUCGGGGACUCCAAGUCCUCCUCGGUGGCCUCAAAUUCCUCCUCGGCCUUGCCUCGAUAGCGGUGUCACCUCCCUGGUGGCCUCCCUGGUGGCCUCCCUGGUGGCCUCACCUCCCCGGUGGCCUCCCCCCUUGGGCCUCCUAAAUGGUGUCACCUCCUUGGUGGCCUCCUCCUGAUGUCACCUCCCUGGUGGCCUCCCCAUCGAUGUCACCUCCUUGGUGGCCUCAACCCUUGGUGGCCUCCUGGUGGUGUCACCCCCCUGGUGACCUCCUUGGUGGCCUCCUCAUUAAUGUCACCUCCCUGGUGGCCUCAACCCUUGGGCCUCCACUGUGAUGUCACCUCCCUGGUGGCCUCCCCAUCAAUGUCACCUCCCUGGUGGCCUCAACCCUUGGUGGCCUCCACCGUGGUAUCACCUCCUUGGUGGCCUCCUGGUGGUGUCACCCCCUUGGUGGCCUCCCUGGUGGCCUCCCCAUCAAUGUCACCCCCUUGGUGGCCUCAACCCUUGGUGGCCUCCUCGG
RNAcentral lists this long non-coding RNA (707 nucleotides) under Anas zonorhyncha (Eastern spot-billed duck). Its description in RNAcentral is "lncRNA (ENSAZOG00000007529.1)". Lineage: Eukaryota; Metazoa; Chordata; Aves; Anseriformes; Anatidae. The record is from RNAcentral.